This 1249-nucleotide long non-coding RNA is filed under the name Ananas comosus (pineapple). Its description in RNAcentral is "long non-coding RNA (ACOM_LNC022393)". Lineage: Eukaryota; Viridiplantae; Streptophyta; Magnoliopsida; Poales; Bromeliaceae. The record is from RNAcentral.
CUAUUAUGUUCCGAGAGUGCAAAUUUGGAACGAAUCGAUGACAACGUUCACAAAAACCAAAUCCGGAACAACAUUAAACUACUCAGUUACGCCCUAACAGUAUAACUUUGCAACGAGUACUUUUUCUCAUUCAAUCGAACAAAGUGUAAAAGCUAAUUAUAUUGUUCUAUUAUGCCCCGAGAGUGUAAAUUUGGAACGAAUCGAUGUCAACGUUCACAAGAACCAAAAUCGGAACAACAUUAGACUACUCAGUUGUGCCCUAACAGUAUAACUUUGCAACGAGUACUUUUUCUCAUUCUAUCGAACAAAGAGUAAAACCUAUUUAUAUUGUUCUAUUAUGCCCCGAGAGUGUAAAUAUAAAACGAAUCGAUGUCAACAUUCACAAGAACCAAAACCGGAACAACAUUAGACUCCUCAAUUGUGCCCUAACAGUAUAAAUUUGCAACGAGUACUUUUUCUCAUUCUAUCGAAUAAAGAGUAAAACCUAAUUAUAUUGUUCUAUUAUGCCUUGAGAGAGUAAAUUUGAAACGAAUCGAUGUCAACGUUCACAAGAACCAAAAUCGGAACAAUAUCAGUUGCGUCUUAACAAUAUAACUUUGCAACCAGUACUUUUUCUCAUUCGAUCAAACAAAGUGUAAAAGCUAAUUAUAUUGUUCUGUUAUGCCCCGAGAGUGUAAAUUUGGAACGAAUCGAUGUCAACCUUCACAAGAACCAAAAUCGGAACAACAUUAGACUACUCAGUUGCGCCCUAACAGUAACUUUUGCAAUGAAUACUUUUUCUCAUUCUAUCGAACAAAUAGUAAAACCUAAUUAUAUUGUUCUAUUAUGCCCCGAGAGAGUAAAUUUGGAACGAAUCGAUGUCAAUGUUCACAAGAAUCAAAAUCGGAACAACAUUUGACUACUCAGUUGCGCCUUAACAAUAUAACUUUGCAACCAGUACUUUUUCUCAUUCGAUCAAACAAAGUGUAAAAGCUAAUUAUAUUGUUCUGUUAUGCCCCGAGAGUGUAAAUUUGGAACGAAUCGAUGUCAACCUUCACAAGAACCAAAAUCGGAACAACAUUAGACUACUCAGUUGCGCCCUAACAGUAUAACUUUGCAACGCGUGCUUUUUCUCAUUCUAUCAAAUAAAGAGUAAAACCUAAUUAUAUUGUUCUAUUAUGUCCCGAGAGUGUAAAUUUGGAACGAAUCGAUGUCAACCUUCACGAGAAGCAAAACUGGAACAACAAUAGACUACUCAGUUGCGCCCUAA